Siniperca chuatsi (mandarin fish) is the source of this 458-nucleotide long non-coding RNA. RefSeq lists it as uncharacterized. The transcript is spliced from 3 exons. The record is from RefSeq and is a predicted model, not a curated record. Lineage: Eukaryota; Metazoa; Chordata; Actinopteri; Centrarchiformes; Sinipercidae.
ACAUGGCGGUGUAACAUUGCGAGGUUUAAAUAUAAAGCAUUUAGUCAAGUUAGGUCAUUAUUUAGCUAAAUUAAUGAUUUACAUUAGGAUAUGACAAACUGUAAAAAGUAAUUAUAUUAGGAGAGAUUAAAUUCCCAGGAAAAUGGAGAAUCAUGUUACAACAUAAAAAUUUUCAUGAAGAUGAAUGGAGGGGACAUCUCAUCAUCAGGGAAUAUAAUAUCAGGGAGUAUAAGUGCAUGAUGAGAUACUGACAUUUGAAAAAUGUCUACUACGUGAUAGGCCUACAGUAAGGACAAGAGGGACUAUAAUUCAACCAGGAGAAAAAAAUGGGGUAUGUGUGUUGGUGAGCUCAACGACUGUUAGAUACCUUCAGAUAGUUGAGGUUGGCCUGAAGGUUUCUAAGGUGAGACAAGACCUGUCUGCUAAAAGACGAGAGGCUGCCAGCCUGUGACGUUGAA